Long non-coding RNA from Pecten maximus, 1065 nucleotides. RefSeq lists it as uncharacterized. The record is from RefSeq and is a predicted model, not a curated record. NCBI's taxonomy places the organism in Eukaryota, Metazoa, Mollusca, Bivalvia, Pectinida, Pectinidae. The transcript is spliced from 3 exons.
CAUUGAUUGGCGGCAAAACAGCUGACAGCUGUAGAGUAUAUCUGACGUCGCAGGUUGCCCGAGAGGGUUUCGUUGCUUCCUACCGUGCACAAGUGAUAUCUUGGAAAAAACUCAAAUCGCCAAGAUACUGCUACUAACAGAUCAUGACUGUGUGGGGGAAUUUGGGGGCAGAUCCCUACAAGACAUCCAAAAAGAAGCAGAAACAUUGGAUGACGAGUAUGAGAAAAAAACCUCAAAAAAGCAAAUGAAGGCUGUGGCCAUAAGUUGUGAAAAGUGGACCACAGAAGAAGAGGAAAUAAAAAAGCAAUUAGACUAUAAAACAAGGCCAUCAGCACGACAAUGUGGAAAAGCUUUAGCCCAAAGAGAGGCCAAUGGCAGGGUACUUUGCAAGAGAAAGAUAUGUUGAAAAAUAAACUUUUCAGUAUUGUGGACAAAUUGAAAUCUGCAACAAAUUGAUGUGUUUUCAAAAAACGCUUAUGCCAUGGUGCAACCAGUAUCUGUCGUCCAGAAAGUACUGAAGGGAUCUUUCUCAAAUUUCAUAUGUAGGUUUCCUUUGAUCCCUAGUUAUGCAUAUUUCAUAUUGGAACCAGUCAGGAAACAACAGAACUCUUUGAAUUGUGAAUAAGCUAACUGGGCCAGAAACCUAUCGUCAUUUGAUUUUAUUAGCCCAACAUCAUGGUGGGCUAUUCAAAUCGCCUUUCGUCCGUCGUCCGUCCUUCCGUCCGUCCUUCUGUCCGUCCGUUAACAAUGCUUGUUACCGCUAUUUCUCAGAAAGUACAGUAGGAAUCGGUCUCAAAUUUCAUAUGCAGACUCCCCUUGGGCCCUAGUGAUGCAUAUUGCAUUUUGGGACUGAUCCAUCAACAAGAUAGCCGAAAGGCAGCCAUCUUGUGUUUUGAUACUUGAAGAUUGUUACCGCUAUUUCUCAGAAAGUGCUGAAGGGAUAUGUCUCACAUUUUACUUAAAGACUCCCCUUUGGCCUAAGUUAUGCAUAUUGCAUUUGUGGACUGAUCCGUCAACAAGAUGGCCGACAGGCAGCCAUCUUGGAUUUCGAUAGUUGAAGUUUGU